UUUCGGCUUUUUUUCAAUGCUAAUUUGUGAACUCGGUCAGGCCUGGAAGGGAGCAGCCGUAGCAGAUGAUGCAUGUGAGAGAGUUUAGCUGUUAAAG
Molecule: signal recognition particle RNA, 97 nt
Filed under: Paraphotobacterium marinum
Lineage: Bacteria; Pseudomonadati; Pseudomonadota; Gammaproteobacteria; Vibrionales; Vibrionaceae
Description: Bacterial small signal recognition particle RNA
Rfam family: Bacterial small signal recognition particle RNA
About the family: The signal recognition particle (SRP) is a universally conserved ribonucleoprotein involved in the co-translational targeting of proteins to membranes. Archaeal SRP consists of a 7S RNA and homologues of the eukaryotic SRP19 and SRP54 proteins.
Source: Rfam by way of RNAcentral